RNAcentral lists this ribosomal RNA (36 nucleotides) under Inocybe sp. NC-7282/1. RNAcentral's name for it is "partial 18S ribosomal RNA". Lineage: Eukaryota; Fungi; Basidiomycota; Agaricomycetes; Agaricales; Inocybaceae. RNAcentral also lists the same sequence under 5 other names. The record is from RNAcentral.
CAGGUUUCCGUAGGUGAACCUGCGGAAGGAUCAUUA